RNAcentral lists this small nuclear RNA (107 nucleotides) under Helianthus annuus (common sunflower). RNAcentral's name for it is "U5 spliceosomal RNA". It matches the Rfam family "U5 spliceosomal RNA". Rfam says of the family: U5 RNA is a component of both types of known spliceosome. The precise function of this molecule is unknown, though it is known that the 5' loop is required for splice site selection and p220 binding, and that both the 3' stem-loop and the Sm site are important for Sm protein binding and cap methylation. Lineage: Eukaryota; Viridiplantae; Streptophyta; Magnoliopsida; Asterales; Asteraceae. The record is from RNAcentral.
AGCCAUGUAGUGAGCACAAAGCGAACUAUUCUUUUGCCUUUUACUAAAGAAUACCUGCUUCAAGUGGCGUACACCUAUUUUUGGAGAAACCCUUUUAUUGAAGGGAU